GGUCUGGCCGGGCGGUCCGCCCUCUGGGUGAGCACUGUUCCGACGUCGGGCCUAUCCUUCUGAAUAACCGGCAUGUCAUUAAUUUGGUGCGCCGGGGAAGCAGGACUGUUACCUUGAAAAAAUUAGAGUGCUUAAAGCAGGUUAUUGCCUGAAUACAUUAGCAUGGAAUAAUGAAAUAGGACGGCAUGGUUCUAUUUUGUUGGUUUCUAGGAUCACCGUA
Molecule: ribosomal RNA, 220 nt
Filed under: Campeiostachys nutans
Lineage: Eukaryota; Viridiplantae; Streptophyta; Magnoliopsida; Poales; Poaceae
Description: Elymus nutans partial small subunit ribosomal RNA
Rfam family: Eukaryotic small subunit ribosomal RNA (bases 95-220)
Source: RNAcentral